This 430-nucleotide long non-coding RNA is filed under the name Manacus vitellinus (golden-collared manakin). Its description in RNAcentral is "lncRNA (ENSMVIG00005011692.1)". The record is from RNAcentral. Lineage: Eukaryota; Metazoa; Chordata; Aves; Passeriformes; Pipridae.
CAUUGACUGUUAAGGAAUUGUAAUAAGGUACAAGGAGCCAAUUGAUUGCUCAAGUGUAAACACUGUGCUCCUCAUUUAAAGUCUAAUAAUUUCCCCAAUCAAAAAGCUCUCCUGUCUAUAAAUUAUCCCACCAUCUCUCACUGAAGAAAACAGAUCCUUUCAAAAGUUGUCCAGCACACAGUAUGAAGAAGGAAAAGCAGUUUCUAUAAUCUUUUUCAAGACAGAUUUCUCUCUCAAGACAGCAGAUGGUCACUUCCCUCUGGUGCUGAUACUGCUUUUAACUAAUUUUUUUCAGCUGUGCUCACACAUAUAUUAAAAAGACACAAAAUACAGACAAGUUGCUCAAAGAUCAGAGAUGCUGCCAUGCUGCAUCUGAACUUGGAUAAGUGGUUAUCAGCUUCACUCCAGCCAGUUGAGCCUCAAUAAACAG